GUGGCCUCUGGCGGACGGGAGGGCGGAGCGACUGCGCAAAUCCGGAAAAAAAAAAAAUGUCACCUGUGGUCUCAGGCUUUGAAAAGUGCUAGUGAUCAGAAGGACUAAUGUUGGUCGAUGCUGUGUUGGGUCAACCUCAUCACAGGCAUUUCCAAUUUGGAGACAUAAAGAACUGAGAACUUGGGGAUCCACUGAGGUCUGAGGCAUGGUGGUACCAGAAGAAAUA
Molecule: long non-coding RNA, 226 nt
Organism: Peromyscus leucopus (white-footed mouse)
Lineage: Eukaryota; Metazoa; Chordata; Mammalia; Rodentia; Cricetidae
Exons: 3
Source: RefSeq, a predicted model, not a curated record